Molecule: ribosomal RNA, 253 nt
Filed under: uncultured bacterium
Lineage: Bacteria
Description: partial 16S ribosomal RNA
Rfam family: Bacterial small subunit ribosomal RNA
Source: RNAcentral
UACGUAGGGGGCAAGCGUUAUCCGGAUUUACUGGGUGUAAAGGGAGCGUAGACGGCAGCGCAAGUCUGGAGUGAAAUGCCGGGGCUCAACCCCGGAACUGCUUUGGAAACUGCGCAGCUAGAGUGCGGGAGAGGUAAGCGGAAUUCCUAGUGUAGCGGUGAAAUACGUAGAUAUUAGGAGGAACACCAGUGGCGAAGGCGGCUUACUGGACCGUAACUGACGUUGAGGCUCGAAAGCGUGGGGAGCAAACAGG